AUUGAACGCUGGCGGCAGGCCUAACACAUGCAAGUCGAGCGAGCGGCGGACGGGUGAGUAAUGUAUGGGGACUGCCCGAUAGAGGGGGAUAACUACUGGAAACGGUAGCUAAUACCGCAUACUAUCGGAUAACCCAUAUGGGAUUAGCUAGUAGGUGGGGUAAUGGCUCACCUAGGCGACGAUCCCUAGCUGGUCUGAGAGGAUGAUCAGCCACACUGGGACUGAGACACGGCCCAGACUCCUACGGAGGCAGCAGUGGGGAAUAUUGCACAAUGGGCGCAAGCCUGAUGCAGCCAUGCCGCGUGUAUGAAGAAGGCCCUAGGGUUGUAAAGUACUUUUAGCGGGGAGGCGGUAUCCGCAGAAGAAGCACCGGCUAACUACGUGCCAGCAGCCGCGGUAAUAC
RNAcentral lists this ribosomal RNA (403 nucleotides) under uncultured bacterium. Its description in RNAcentral is "partial 16S ribosomal RNA". It matches the Rfam family "Bacterial small subunit ribosomal RNA", at positions 30 to 526 of the family's 1533-position model. The record is from RNAcentral.